This 468-nucleotide ribosomal RNA is filed under the name uncultured bacterium. RNAcentral's name for it is "partial 16S ribosomal RNA". It matches the Rfam family "Bacterial small subunit ribosomal RNA", at positions 28 to 507 of the family's 1533-position model. The record is from RNAcentral.
GACGAACGCUGGCGGCGUGCUUAACACAUGCAAGUCGAACGGAAAGGCCCUGCUUUUGUGGGGUGCUCGAGUGGCGAACGGGUGAGUAACACGUGAGUAACCUGCCCUUGACUUUGGGAUAACUUCAGGAAACUGGGGCUAAUACCGGAUAGGAGCUCCUGCUGCAUGGUGGGGGUUGGAAAGUUUCGGCGGUUGGGGAUGGACUCGCGGCUUAUCAGCUUGUUGGUGGGGUAGUGGCUUACCAAGGCUUUGACGGGUAGCCGGCCUGAGAGGGUGACCGGCCACAGUGGGACUGGGAUACGGCCCAGCCUCCUACGGGAGGCAGCAGUGGGGAAUAUUGCACAAUGGGCGGAAGCCUGAUGCAGCAACGCCGCGUGCGGGAUGACGGCCUUCGGGUUGUAAACCGCUUUCGCCUGUGACGAAGCGUGAGUGACGGUAAUGGGUAAAGAAGCACCGGCUAACUACGUG